ACAAUGUAGUUAUUUUUAGGUGGAUAAAUAGUGAUGAGUGAGGGAAGCUAUUGAAGCCUCUUAUUAUUUUAUAAUAGCUUAUUUUGCUUAAUAUCGUUUCGUGUUUUUUUAUUGGUGAGUUGGCUACAGUUAUACUAACCCAUUAAGCAGCGAUAUUAAAAUAUAUAAUUUAACAUUAUUUGUGGAAUUAGUCAAUUUUUUAACAAAGUUAUUUUGAGCAUUUUAAAAUUACAAAUUUAAAAAGCUAUGAUAUCAUCAUAAUAGUGUGUUUAAAUUCUCAAUACCAGAAAAAAACAGUGUAGUUAUAUAAAAAUGGGUAAAACACUCCGCGACGUAGUUUAAUAAUAUUUUAGGUGUUUGGAAUUGAAGAAAUGUUAUAUUAUUUUGUAGUAGUUUCUUUUAACUUAAUAUCAUCUAAAAGUACAGUUGUAUCAUCACACCCUGUCAAUACCAAUGAGAUAAACAAUUUUUAGAACACUCCGACGAAGUAGUCAAUCGUUUCAUGGAUGAUGUAACUAAAGUGGCGUAUUGAAGAGUUGCUCAAGACAAACGUUGAUAUUUGUAUGACACGUGAAGAAACUGAAGAACAUAUAAAAAAAACCUGCUGUGACUUGUGUAAAGGUGGUUUUACAGAGAAAAAACAUAGUGUAGCAGACCAUGAUCAUUUGACAGUUAAAGUCCUUGGAAGAGAUACUAGUAGAAUCAGUGUAAUACCUGCUACAGAAUAAAUAUAUUUUUCUUUUUCAAAAUUUGUUUCAACACAAGAUUUCGCUAAGGUUCGUAGAUACAUUUCGAUUUAUAUGAGUAAUAGUUUAGCGGCUCUCGCUGACAUAAAAUUAUUCGGAGAAACCGUAAAAGCAUUUUUAGGGGACGACGACAUUGAUUUAGUGAUACGUAAAGGCGUGUACUUGUUGUAUACCUCCAUUUGAGAUGUAUUAAAAAAAAAAAAUUGCCAUCAAAAGUCGAUUUUUAUAAUGAACUGUUAGAAACACAUAUUGAUGAGUCUGAAUACGAACGUUUGGCAACAUUUCAAUUGUAAAAUGCUUGUUGAGUACUCUGUCUUGUACCUGAAAACUGACGUAUCAAUACUUGCCGAUGUUCUUACAAAUUUUCGUAAAUUAUGUCUAUUAAAAUAUAAAUUGGAACCGGCAUAUUAUUUUACGAGUCCCGCUCUGUCUUUUGACGCUAUGUUUUUACGCAUACGGACAUACGGGCGUUUCACUAGACCUCAUGAGCAAUUAUGAACAGCAACUUUUUAUUGAGAGAGGAAUACGGAGAGGAAUGCCAAGUUCACUGUUGAAACAUGCCAUAUCCAACAAUGAAAAGAUGCCUCAGUAUGAUAUUAAACAUCAAAAAUCUGAAAUUAUAUAUUUGGAUGUCAAUAAUUUGUAUGGUUGGAGUAUGUCUCAACAUAUGCCAUGUGAUGACUUUAAGUGGUUAGACGUGGACGGCGAAGCAAAAAUUUUAAAGACAGUGAAAGAGUUACCGGUGGAUUUUCCUGUAGUGAUGGCCCUUGAAGUGACGAGUCGUAUCUGAAAGAGUUACAACGACGAAAUACCGUUUCUGCUUGAACGAAUAUGUCCGACUAAUUCACGGGUCAAAAAACUGUUGUCUACUUUCAAUCGAAAAGAAAACUAUGUUGUACAUUAUCUAAAUUUAAAACAGGUGCAUAAGGUGUUACAAUUUAAGCAGUCGACAAGGCUAGCAAAAUAUAUAUAACUCAAUACGGAGACAAAACAGAAAGCCUAAAAUGAUUUCGAAAAAGACUUUUUCAAAUUAAUGAAUAACUCUGUUUUUGGUAAAAUGAUGGAUUUUGCACAAUUAAUAAUGCAAAUGGAACUGGUCAAUAAUCCUAAACGAGCGACUAAAUUGAUUAAAAAGCAUAAUUUCAAACAUUGUACAACGUACAGUGAACAUUUAUUGUAUUGGAAUAGAAAAUUAUCGAUUUUUGUAAACCAGUAUACGUAGGUUUUGCAAUUUUAGAAAUUAGUAAAACUUUUGUAAGCCCAACCAAUCAGUGCUUUGACGUGUAGUAACGCUAUUGAUUUUACGAUGAUAUUAAGUUAAAAGAAACUACUACAAAAUAAUAAAACAUUUCUUUAGUUCCAAACACCUAAAAAAAAUAUCGGACCACGUCACUGAGUUUCCAGAAGCACUUUUCUAUUAUGACAAACAAUAAUAUAUAUAAGAAAAUACUGGUCGUCAACAACUUUUGUACAAGCAUUUCAGAAGUUAUCAACACUUUUACACCUACACAAUAGGGGAGGAGUACGGACAAGUGAUAAAAAUAACGUGAUCUAAGUCUCGCCACCAGUCUACAUUAAAAAAUAUUAAUAACUUCCGAAACACUAACUUAAUAAUAAAACAGAAUAAAAACAAUAUUAUAAAUAUUUGCUCGAAUAAAAUUCUAUGUUAUUAUAUUUUA
Molecule: long non-coding RNA, 2425 nt
Organism: Daktulosphaira vitifoliae (grape phylloxera)
Lineage: Eukaryota; Metazoa; Arthropoda; Insecta; Hemiptera; Phylloxeridae
Exons: 8
Source: RefSeq, a predicted model, not a curated record